GGAUCAUAUCUGUAACACUUUAUUAUAGAUAGAUAGAUAGAGAGAGAGAGAGAGAGAGAAAGAGGGACGGGACCAAAAUAUAAGUGCGUGUGUGUAUGUAAGUAUAUGAGCGGGUCUUUUCAAAUCAAGUCAAAAGUCUAUGAAGGAGAAAUUAAGAAGUGUAGGUUAAAACAAAAUGAGGGUUUCAGUGAGCGGGUCGUGAAAUGUCAUUGUAGCAAAUACACCAAUUCACGGGCUAAAAAAGUCUGUUAGGUUGAUCGUUCAAAUGCGGACCGUAUAUUAAAAAAAAGGGGGGAGGUGUUCCUGUCAAUAAACAAUAUAAAGAAAGCCUGGGAUCUAGGCUAAUUCGAUGUGAUCACACUACAGCAUAUAGAUCUAGAUCUGUGUCUUCCUGCUGACACCCUUCAGACACUCUCUAAUCUCAAAAUUUGUUGGCAUUACAUAGUAACGUAGAUCUAAAUCAAUUGGAAUUUUUAAAUAACCCGGUACGACGAAUGACCACAUAGAUUUAAAUACCCCGGUACGACGAAUGACCACAUAGAUUUAAAUACCCCGGUACGACGAAUGACCACAUAGAUUUAAAAUUUAAGCAUGAAGGAUAAAAAAAAGACACAAAAAAAAAGCUGAUAAUUGCUUUUUCAAUUAGCCAAUGUUUGAGUCAAUAAUAGCGGCCCAGCCUAGUCUACUGUCAUAGGCCACGUGUAGCUUACGUCCUUGGUAUUACGUUCCGGGCACUUGGUAUUUAUACAGUGUUUAUGUUUGGAUAUGGAUACAACAGGAGCAGAUACAGUUUGGUAAGUAACGAUGAAUGGAAUUUUUUUCCUCUGUGCAGUGUAUGCAUUGAGACCUAUAAUCUAAUAUAGGUGUGAGCUGGCGCUCCUAGAUCUAAUUUUUUAUCAAUUUUUAUCUGUAUUUUAAUUGGUAAAACUAUCUAGGCUAGUGCUGAGUGCAUGCAUGGUUCCCGCCAGCUCUUUAAUGUUAGAGUUAGUUUAGGUGAGUCAUGACCUGGCUCUAUAAAUAGAAAGGGUGCGGUCAGUUCUUUCUUUUUCCGGUGUUGACCGUUGGUCAGUGUGACCAUGUAGAAGUAAUAGUUAUUUAAAUGUAGUGUAAAUUUCAGCUGGGACCGCCUGCUAUAAUUUCUGUAGUUACGUCUACUGCUGUCGUUAAGUCUACUGCCAACUGUUUGCUGUCGUUACGUCUACUGCCUAACUGUGCAGUAGUACUGCCAUUAUUCACUGCCUAGCUACUGUCGUUACGUCUACUGCCUAACUGUGCGGUAGUACUGCCAUUAUUACUGCCUGUCUGCCAUUAUUCACUGCCUAGCUACUGUCGUUACGUCUACUGCCUACUGUGCGGUAGUACUUCCAUUAUUACUGCCUGUCUGCCAUUAUUCACUGCCUAGCUACUGUCGUUACGUCUACUCAGACUACUGUUUGCCUGGCUGCCUUUAUUAGUAUAUUUAUUUAUUAGUAUAUUACUGCCAUAGUUAAACUGUCUGCUGUACUGUUGUGUUUAGUGUUAGUAUUUUAGGUGUAAUCUAGUAAAGAUAGUUAGACAUUUGGGUUUCUUAUUAGUGUUGGUAGUGGUAUAGUCAGGUUGAUUAGUUGUUUAUUUCUAAGUUUAUUUGUUUCUGUAAAGUUUUUUUUUGUAUUCAUCUAUAUUUUUAUUGCUUUGUAAAUUUGUUGUAAAUAAAGUGUAUAUAAAUUUUGUUUUAUAAA
Long non-coding RNA from Biomphalaria glabrata, 1718 nucleotides. RefSeq lists it as uncharacterized. The record is from RefSeq and is a predicted model, not a curated record. NCBI's taxonomy places the organism in Eukaryota, Metazoa, Mollusca, Gastropoda, Planorbidae. The transcript is spliced from 2 exons.